AUUGAACGCUGGCGGCAUGCCUUACACAUGCAAGUCGAACGGCAGCACGGGAGCAAUCCUGGUGGCGAGUGGCGAACGGGUGAGUAAUAUAUCGGAACGUGCCCAGUCGUGGGGGAUAACGUAGCGAAAGCUACGCUAAUACCGCAUACGAUCUAUGGAUGAAAGCGGGGGAUCGCAAGACCUCGCGCGAUUGGAGCGGCCGAUAUCAGAUGAGGUAGUUGGUGAGGGAAAGGGUCACCAAGCCGACGAUCUGUAGAUGGUCUGAGAGGACGACCAGCCACACGAGGGGUGAGACACGGCCCAGACUCCUACGGGAGGCAGCAGUGGGGAAUUUUGGACAAUGGACGCAAGCCUGAUCCAGCAAUGCCGCGUGCAGGAUGAAGGCCUUCGGGUUGUAAACUGCUUUUGUACGGAACGAAACGGCGAGCUCUAAUACAGUUUGCUAAUGACGGUACCGUAAGAAUAAGCACCGGCUAACUACGUGCCAGCAGCCGCCGUAA
Molecule: ribosomal RNA, 500 nt
Filed under: uncultured bacterium
Lineage: Bacteria
Description: partial 16S ribosomal RNA
Rfam family: Bacterial small subunit ribosomal RNA
Source: RNAcentral